This 404-nucleotide ribosomal RNA is filed under the name uncultured bacterium. Its description in RNAcentral is "bacterial SSU rRNA". It matches the Rfam family "Bacterial small subunit ribosomal RNA", at positions 29 to 418 of the family's 1533-position model. The record is from RNAcentral.
AAUCAACGCUGGCGGCGUGCCUAACACAUGCAAGUCGAGCGCGAAAGGGGAGCAAUCCCCAAGUAGAGCGGCGAACGGGUGAGUAACGCGUGGGUAAUCUGCCUCCGAGUGGGGAACAACAUCGGGAAACUGGUGCUAAUACCGCAUAACAUCGUCGGGCCUUCGGGUCUGACGAUCAAAGCCGGGGACCGGCAAGGCCUGGCGCUUGGAGAGGAGCCCGCGUCCGAUUAGCUAGUUGGUGAGGUAAUGGCCCACCAAGGCUUCGAUCGGUAGCCGGCCGAGAGGGCGGACGGCCACACUGGGACUGAGACACGGCCCAGACUCCUACGGGAGGCAGCAGUGGGGAAUUUUUCGCAAUGGGCGAAAGCCUGACGAAGCAACGCCGCGUGGAGGAUGAAGGCCUU